CCCAUUCUUUACAUUUCAUUCAAAACUAUAACAAGGAAGUUGAGCCUGAUUGCCCCGGGUGUCAAAAACCAAUAUCUGGUCCAUUUUACCACUGUUCAGAUUGCACUUAUCCUACAUUCUUUAACCUUCAUAAGGAAUGUGCUGAACUACCCUUUGAGAUUAAUCACCCCUGUGAUCGUAAGCAUCCUCUUACUCUCUUGCCACAACCGCCAACUCAUCCCCAGAAAUGUAGUUGCUAUUUGUGCAGAAUCCAAUGGAAGGGGUUUGUUUAUUCCUGCUCUCUAUGCAACUUUGAUCUUUCACUUGAUGAUUUUCUUUUUUCACCACCAACAAUCACAGUUGCAAGUCAUGAACAUCCGUGGAUGCUUGUAUCUAGAAAAAUGUGGUUUGUUUGUGAUUUUUGUGGCACUGACGGGGAUCACUCCCCCUAUUUCUGUGGUACCUGUGUACUUUUUGUCCACAAGAAUUGCAUUUCAUUGCCAUGCAACAUCAGGAUAACACGACAUUGUCACGUGAUUUGUUUUUCAUAUUCUUUUCAACAAAAUCAAGUUGAAGAUUGUAUGUGCAGAAUUUGUUACACGGAAGUUGAUACAAGUUAUGGUAGGUAUUGUUGUUCUGCUUCCGGUUGUGAUUAUAUUGCUCAUGCACAUUGUGCAACCAAUAAAUCAAUUUGGGAUGGAACAAUUAUCAAGGACGGCUAUGAUGAGAGGCAUGGUCCUUCGAAUUUGCUUACUGAUGUUGUUGAACAAAUUCGUAUUGGAGAGCUAAUGGUAGCAAGUGAGAUCAAGCAUUCCUAUCAUGAUCAUAAUUUAAGACUCACUUUUAGUGGGAAGACCAAAGAUGAUGAUAGUCAGUGCGAUGGGUGCACGAGACCUAUAUCAACUCCGUUUUAUAGUUGUGAGCAAUGCAAGUUCUUUCUCCACAAAGAUUGCGCUGAAUUGCCUAAAGAAAUGCCACACCCCUUUCACAAGCAUUUGCUUACUCUCGUGAACUCACACGGUGGGGGUGGUUAUUCACGGUGCGAUGCUUGUGAUCGUCUAUAUCAAGGAUUUAGCUACGAAUGCUACAAAAGAGAUUGCAGGUUCAAAAUUGACAUUCAAUGUAUGUUAUUGUCGGACACCUUGAAGCACCCAAGUCAUGAGCAUUCACUCUUUCUUGUCCACAACAACGACGGAACAAGUUGCAGUGCUUGUUUCAAAAGACUAUACCUGGGGGAAGUUGCAUAUAUAUGCAUGAAGCGCUGUGAUUUCAGGUUACAUGUAGGUUGUGCAACACUACCACUCACUGCUUGGUACAAGUAUGACAGGCAUGCUCUUACUUUGACUUUUUCUGAUGAUUCUGAGCCUUCUCAACUUUACUGCGAUCUCUGUGAAAAAGAAAGAGAGCCAAAGGAUUGGUUUUACUACUGUGCUGAUUGUGAUAACUCUCUUCAUCUCAAUUGUGUUAUCGGGGAUCUCCCAUAUUUGAAGCUUGGGAACAAAUUGAAGCAUUAUAGGCAUAAACAUCCAUUCACUAUGGUAAAAAACAUCUGGAAUUGCCCUCCAUGUAAGGCAUGUGGUGAGGUUUGCAAUGGACAGGCCCUAGAAUGUAAAGAAUCUGAAUGCAACUUUACCGUCCAUUGGUAUUGCUGUAGGGAUCUCCAGAGAAUCAUUUGAAUGAUAUUCCACUCAAGUUUAAGAAACAGAGAAGGCACAAUAUGAGAGAUGUGUUGUGUUCUGCGUAACCACACAUCUUUAUCUUUCACUUUUCUAUUUGAUUCUUAUCUAAAAUACUAAAAUAAUGAACAUAAUGUUGAGUUUGGAAAUUUAAAUAGAAAAUCAUUCCUCCAUUCAUAAAAUUGUGAGUGAAUGUUAAGACCAUGAAAUGUAUAAAUGGUUUCUCAAUUUUAUUUAUCUAAAAAUCCUAAAUUUAGCAUUUAAAGAUCGAAUUUGGUAUAUCUAUACAUGUUUAUUUACUUAUUUAUUAUUUUUAAAAAGUGGAAAUGUAUGAGGUUUGUGACAUAAAUCAAUCAAGAUUUUGUGACCUUAAAUCAACCAGCCAUAAAAAAAGUGUACAUAUGUUUUAGCUUUACAAUGUAGGUUCAUUUUAUUUCACCUAAUCAGUAAACAUUUGUACUCCAUAUUCAAAAUAAUAUUAUUAUGCCUAAAUAAUCUGUGUGCUUAGUGCCACAAUGACACUUGCAUACACCACAGCUCAUGACACCAAUCGAAGAAAAUAUCAACUUGAAGAUAUCAUCCCAUGUUAUCGAAUUGUGAGCAACCCUUAGAAACUAAAUAAACACCAUAAAAGAAGCAUCGAACAUGGCAGCAAUGCAAUAACGGCAAACCUAUUGCCUGCAUGAGUCUUUAAUUACAACCCCAAAAAUCUUAUACCAAAACAAGGAGCAACAUCAAAAGACCUUCAUAAUUAAACACUCUUAAAAUUGAAUGUUCCAGAUUCUUAUCCUUAGAAUGGAAAUGCUUGGGGUAUUAUGGGAAAAAUAUUAACAUAUAGUCUCACAAGUCAACGACGAAAAUGAUUCUUCUCUUUAUGAAGAACAAGAGCAAGAACUAAUGAAGUAUACCACAAAGGCUGGAGUAAAGUGAAGCAAAAUCAAGUGUUUUCUUGUAAUGGAUGUGAGUGAAUGUGAGAGUAGGACAGAGGAGGAGACCAUGGAACUUCAACUUUUCAGUCAUCCACAUCCUUUGGUCUUCUUCAAAUAUCAGACUGUUGUAAGCAAAGAAGUAGAUCCAGAAGCAGCUCGUUGCUUUGGGUGUGAGAAUCCUUUAGAGGACCGGAGCUACGGCUGCAAUCAAUGUAAGUUUUACCUUCAUAAGGGAUGUGCUGAGUUAGAGUUAGUCCCCCGGAUUCAACAUCCCUUUCACCUACAACACCCUCUCACAUUUUUCCCACAAUCACCUUAUCAGGGUGAAUACGUGCUUGUGUGGCGGAAUAUUCUGGGGAUUUGUUUAUCAUUGUGGUUCUUGUUUAUUUGAUCUGCACAUCAAUUGUGCUUUGCUUCAAUCAUCCAUUGCUACAAAUUUUCCUAAUUCUUUGCACCACCAUCCUUUACACUUCAUUCAAGACUACAAGGAGGAAGUUGAGCGCGAUUGAUCCGGAUGUCAGAAACCAUUAUCUGGUCCGAUUUGCCAUUGUAUAGAUUGUUCUUAUCCUACAUUCUUUACCUUCAUAAGGAAUGUGCUGAACUACCCCUAGAAAUUAAUCACCCAUGUGACCGUAAGCAUCCCCUUACUCUUUUGCCCCAACGACCUGCACAUCCCGAGAAAUGUAGUUGCUAUUUGUGCAAAAUCCAAUGGAGCGGGUUUGUUUAUUCCUGCUCGCUUUGCAACUUUGAGGUUUCAGUUGAUGAUAUUUUUUCACCACCAACAAGAUUUUGUGACAUAAAUCAAUCAAGAUUUUGUGACCUUAAAUCAACCAGCCAUAAAAAAAAAAUAGUGUACAUAUGUUUUAGCUUUACAAUUUAGGUUCAUUUUAUUUCACUUAAUCAGUAAACAUUUGUACUCCAUAAUCCAUAUUCAAAAUAAUAUUAUUAUGCCUAAAUUCUAGAAAAUAAUUUUUUCUUUAUUUUAGAUCUUAUUCUAAAUUUUUUGAAUUUUCCAUCAGAUUUUAUUGUAAUUUCAUUUCAAAGAUAAAUCAGCACUUUUCACAACUUAGAAAAGAAUAAAGUCAAUUUAGGCAAAAAGUCCUUUUUUUUUUCUUUGCCCUCAAAAUAUUAAGAACAACCCCAUUUCUUUUAUUUUUCUUUUUAUCAAAUUAUUCAGAAUUAGGUGAAAAAAUUAACGAGUCGUUAAUUUUGAUGAUGGGAAUGAUUGACGUUUAUGUGACAUUCAUGAAAAUACACGUGUAUCAUGUCAUUAGAAAUUAAUUAUUUUAUAAAAUUAAAAAAAUUAAAUAUUAAAACUUAAUGUCUGACUUUUUUUUAAUCAUUAUUUUUAAAAUUUCAAAUUCUUAAAUAAUUUAAUAUUAAGCUGCUAAUUUUAAAAUAUUAAUAAAUUAAACUAAACACUUUUUCCAUUAAUAAAGAACAUUUUCUUCCUUAUUCUUUAAAAAAAAAAAAACCUAAAUGAACUCUAAAAGGUACUUCAAUCUCUUGAACCCACAUUCGGAUCAUCUGAAGAUUCCAAACAUAGCAUGUUGUGAUUACAAGUAGAGAAACGAGCUUUUAACUCAAAUGAGAGAACAUUAUUUUUAUUGAAUUGAUGAAUAAAUCCAUAUAGUUCUAGCCUUUUAUGAGUCUUAUAAUAGCUCAAAGCUAAAAAUAACAAAACUAAAUAUGAGAAAAUUUGAAAAUUUUAUUUAAGUUCUCUCAAAAUUUUUAAAAAUUCUCAUUAAUUUUUUCAAGAGUUUUAAAAAAUCUUAUUAAUCCCCAAAAAUAUUUUAAAUUUUGAUUAAUUUUUAUUUUUGAAUUAACUAUUCCAAAAUUAUUCCUCUCUAUUAUAUUUUUAUUAUCAGUUAAAGUCAAACAUAAUACUGGCUGAAGGGGACAUAGCCAGAAUGAGAGUGACCAAAUUCCAAAUUAUUGUAUUUUGAUACCAAAAUUCAAGUAAUGUGUAAUUUAUAUCCUCCAAAAUUGUAACGAUAAAAAGAAUGAUAAUGGCAUAUUCAAUCCCUAUACUUUAUCAAAAUAUCUAAUAUGGUAUCUUCACUUUUAAAAUAUCAAUUCUGAUACCUAAACUUUAGAAUUUUUUUAGGAUUUAAAUAAUAUAAUUUUUGUUAUAAUUUUAUAAGAUACACAGUUUAUUUUUAUAUUACAUUUUUUUUAGAAUUUAUAUUAUAAUUUUUUUUUGCCACAACAAUCUCAAAUAAUCAUAUGUGUUUAUACUUAUGAUGUAAUUUUUAUAACUUGUAAAGUAUAAUUUUUAAAAAUUAGAUUUUGGUGUAAUUAUAUACGUAAUUAUUCUAAUUCUCACCCUCCCCUAGAAAUUGGAAAGUAUAAGUGGAGUGCUGUGAUUACAACCAAUAAAGUGGGAUCCACAAAUUAUAAUGCUUAUAAAAACAUGACAUCCUUAGGUAAUUAGAAGUCCAAUUAUCAGAUGACUUUCCAAGCACUAUUUCGGUAAAAAUUAGUGAUCGUUCAAAAAAGUUACUGGAAAGCUUUGCUUCUUUUUUAAAAACUAGAGGUGUUCAUGAGUUGGGUGACCCAGCCUGAAUGCCUGCCUGAAAAGUGAGAGAAUUUAGACAAAAAUAUAAGCCCAAAAUAGGUUUGGACAAAAAUUAAGGCUUGUUUAGGCGAAAAAACGAAUCGAAUCUUGAGUAAGGUUUUUUUUUGAACUGGACCUAGCUCGAAUUUGCAAACAAAAAAAAACUUUUUUUUGUUGUUUUUCACUGUUUUGCUGUCAUUUCACUAUUAUGUUGUUAUUGUUUGGAUAUUGUAUAACUCUUAUUUUAUUGUCAAAUUUGCUACUAUUUUAGAGACAUUUGCUUGUUAAGUUGCAGAUAUCCUAGUUUUAUUUAUCUAUAAAGGUUUUUAUUUUAAUUUACUGAGAAAUAUUUAUUUUAAUGUUUUAAGUGUAUUUUGUGUAUUAUAUUUUUAAAAUUUUUUAUAUAAAAAAUAAAAUACAGGUGGGCAAGACCAAACCAUCAAUUGGGCCCAAAAAUUUGUUAAGGCGUGACCUGAUCCGAUCCAUAAACACCUCUAUUUUAAACUAUCUCCUUUGCUGACUUAGGCAAGGAAAUAGAUUUAUUUAAGCGAGAAGAUAGAAAGAAAAAAAUAAUCCGACAAAUGAAAUAAAAAAUCUUGGUUGCGGAGAGAAACAUAAUAUAAAGAAUAUAAAUAUGAAAUUCUUUAUAACUUGUUAAAGAAAUUUGGUAUCAACGUAAUGAUAAAAGAAUGAUAAUAACAUAUUCAACCCCUAUACUUUAUCAAUAUAUCUAAUAUAUCCUUCUAAUGGAGUUAAAAUCUUACAUCACUUUGAAUGCAACCAAUUGUAUGCUGCCAUGUGGCCCUAUUAGUUUGAAAAAUUUUAAUCAAAGUCGAGGGAUUUGAAAAUAGUUAUACCAAAAAUUGUUUUAAAGGCAAAAAGAAGAAAAAAAACCAUUAAGACCAACCCAUGCCCGGCACAAUUUAGCCCAUCAACUCUUCUACCCUAAACUUAAACUUUGCUCUCAAUUCAAUCUGCGCUUAAUAUAAAAAUUGCUGUCUAAAUUACACAUGUUUUCUCAGAUAGAUUUUUAAACUUUUUUUUUGUCAAUUUGAGUAUUUAAACUAAUUUUAUUCUCACAUUGGUACCCCCAUUAGUUAUCCCUUAGUUUGAUUUGGUGGAAUAAAAAUAAAAUAGAAAUUUGCUUUCGAAGAGAUGGUUGAGUGGUUGAUAGCUCCUGUUUUGAAAAUCGGUAUAGUUCGAAACAUAGAAUUAUCGAAGGUUUGAAUCCCUCUCUCUCCUUUGCUCGAUGAAUAGGUUUGUAAUUAAUUGGAUUUGGCCACAGCUGUACUGAGAUCGAUUCCACUAAAAAUUGAUGAUUUGAUUGGUUUAAUUGCCAAUUCGAUUGUUAUAAUAUUAAUCCAAAAUAGUCAAUAAAAUAUUUUUAAUCUAGGAUAAAUAUACAUUUUGAUAUUUGAACUUGAUUUCAAUGUUCAAAUUGGUACUUAAAGUUUAGGGUUUAAAUAAGAGUAUAAUGCACUUCAAUACACUUAAAUUAACUCACCUGAUUUUAGACUCUUAAAAAUUAACAAUUCAAUUUAAUUUAGUUCUUUAACCUAAAAUUUUGAAGUUUGGCACUCAAUAAUUUAUAUUUUAUGCUAAUCAUUUUAAUUAAAAUAUUUAAAUUUCGAUUUUGUUUCGAAGUGAGCAAUCGAUCAAUUCAAUCCAAUCCAAAGAUUUAACAAACUCUUUUACAAAUCAAAAUAGAACCAAAUUCUCUAUAAAACCAACAAAAUCAAAUUAAUUAUGAAUAAUUUACUGCUCUACCUGUGAUUGAAUUAAUAAAUAAUAUUGGCAAAAAAUACUAAAUAAUUUUUUUUUUGUAAAUAUAGUUUUAAUAUUAAUUUUUUUUUUACUCGUGGAUAUGACAAAAUUCGCUAUUUGAAAUUGAAAGUCAAUUAAUUUGAUUUUGGAUUUCUAAAAUAAAAAUAAAUUUACCGGAUCUACAACAUACUUGAAAAAACUAAAAUCAACCUGUUGAAUUACUUUUGUCAAUUUGACCAGACUAUUGCACACCCUUAAUUUUGCUCCCUGAAUGUAUGUAUACUUGUUAACAUCGGGACUGGUAUCAUUGGAAUGAAACGGGGAGAGCAAGCAACGAAAUUUUCCGAAGAAAAGUGUCCUCUCCUACUUCCUUCUUCCUUCUUCCUCCUACUUUCUUCUUUCUUUCUUUAUUUGCUUAAUUAUAUCUAUAUCUAUGCUUAGAAUUUUGAAAAUUGGGCAAAGCAUCAAUAUAUUCCUUUCUUUAUGAAGACCAAAACCAACACCCAAAAAGAAUCUACUAACCAUGAGGCCUGGAAUAAUUUGAUGAAGCAAUUUCAUUUUUGUUCUUCUUCUUCUAAAUAAUUUCACAUUAUCUGAGAGUUGGAAAGAAAGAGAGAUGGAAAUUCAACAUUUCAGCCAUCACCAUCCUUUGGUCUUCAUCCAAGCUCACAGUGUUGCAAGCAAAGCAGCUCUUUGCCUUGUGUGUGAGAAACCUGUAGUGGGCUGGAGCUAUGGCUGCAAUCAAUGUGAGUUUUAUCUUCACAAGGGAUGUGCUGAGUUAGAGUUAGCCCCCAAGAUUCAGCAUCCCUUCCACCCCAAACACCCUCUCACUCUUCUGCCAAAAUCAUCUUAUUCUGGGUUUGGAAUUUGCAAUUUUUGUCUUAAGAAAUUAGGGGGAUUUUUUUAUAAUUGUAAUGAUUGUAGUUUCUAUCUGCACAUCAAUUGUGCUUUGCUUCAAUCAUCCAUUGCUGCAAAUUUUCCUAAUUCUUUGCACCCCCAUCCUUUGUUCUUCAUUCAAAAUCAUAACAACGAAGUCAAGUCUCAUUGCUCCGGAUGUCAGAAACCAAUAUCUGGUCCAUUUUACCACUGUUCAGAUUGCACUUAUCCUACAUUCUUUAACCUUCAUAAGGAAUGUGCUGAACUACCCCUUGAGAUUAAUCACCCCUGUGACCGUAAGCAUGCUCUUACUCUCUUGCAACAACCGCCUACUCAUCCCCAGAAAUGUAGUUGCUAUUUGUGCAGAAUCCAAUGGAAGGGGUUUGUUUAUUCCUGCUCUCUAUGCAACUUUGAUUUUUCGCUUGAUGAUUUUCUUUUUUCACCACCAACAAUCACAGUUGCAAGUCAUGAACACCCGUGGAUGCUUGUAUCUAGAAAAAUGUGGUUUGUUUGUGAUUUUUGUGGCACUGACGGGGAUCACUCCCCUUAUCACUGUGAUACCUGUGUACUUUUUGUCCACAAGAAUUGCAUUUCCUUGCCACGCCACAUCAUGAUAACACGACAUCAUCACACCAUUUCUCUUUCGUAUUCUUUUCGACAGAAUCAAGUUGAGGAUUGGAUGUGCAAAAUUUGUUACAAGGAAGUUGAUAUAAGCUAUGGCCAUUACCGUUGUCCUGCUUCUCGUUGCCGUUAUAUUGCUCAUGUACGUUGUGCAACUGAUAAAGCAAUUUGGGAUGGAACAAUUAUACCGGAAGGCUAUGAUGAGAGGUCUGAGGAAGUGGUAGAUGUACCUUGGAAUUUGAUUAGUGAUGUUGUUGAACAAAUUGGUAUUGGAGAGCUAAUGGUAGCAAGUGAGAUCAAGCAUUCCUAUCAUGCUCAUAAUUUAAGACUCACUUUUAGUGGGAAGACCAAAGAUGAUAAUAGUCAGUGCGAUGGGUGCACGAGACCUUUAUCAACUCCUUUUUAUAGUUGUGAGCAAUGCAAGUUCUUUCUCCACAAAGAUUGCGCUGAAUUGCCCAAAGAAAUGCCACACCCAUUUCACAAGCAUUUGCUUACUCUCUCAAACUCACACGAUGGGGAUGAUUAUCCAUUGUGCGAUGCUUGCGGUCGUCGGUAUAAAGGAUUUAGUUACAGAUGCUACGAAGGAGAUUGCUGCUUCGAAAUUGACAUUCAAUGUGUGUUAUUGUCGGACACCUUGAAGCACCCAAGUCAUGAGCAUUCACUCUUUCUUGUCCACAACAACGAGGGAACGAGUUGCAGUGCUUGUUUCA
This 9112-nucleotide long non-coding RNA is filed under the name Gossypium raimondii (Peruvian cotton). Its description in RNAcentral is "long non-coding RNA (GRAI_LNC003414)". The stretch from base 6291 to 6383 matches the Rfam family "tRNA". Lineage: Eukaryota; Viridiplantae; Streptophyta; Magnoliopsida; Malvales; Malvaceae. The record is from RNAcentral.